This 453-nucleotide long non-coding RNA is filed under the name Ananas comosus (pineapple). Its description in RNAcentral is "long non-coding RNA (ACOM_LNC035804)". Lineage: Eukaryota; Viridiplantae; Streptophyta; Magnoliopsida; Poales; Bromeliaceae. The record is from RNAcentral.
GAGUGUAAGGUACCGGACUUCUAAAAUUAUAAAGUUACGGUGUCCAUUUGGUUUGAAAGCCAUUUGAAUGAUUCCGGUGAGGUUGCGGUGGAAUGUAAUAUACCGGAUUUUAAAUAUAAAAAUAAAAAUAAAUAAAAAUAGUGUGAGAUACUAUUUUUAUUGGAUUUAGAGGAGUAAAACAUAAGUGAGAAGUGACUUGUGCUGAAAUCGGAAUGAAAACAGAAGAUCUAGAAUUUUCUGUUGGAAACGGGACAGAUAAAUUAGCAGAAAAUGCAGUCUUAGAAAAAUAUAAAAAUUGGAGGAUAAGUCAGAAAUAUUUUUAUGAGACUAGAUUUAAAGUUUCAUAUUUUUCUGACACCCGUAGAGUGAGAAAAAAAAUCCGAUAGCUAUCUGAUAAAGAUUACAGUUCGGUACAAUUUUCAGUGACCAAACGGGGUCAAAACUGAAAAAUUA